GUGCUAAUACAUGCAAGUCGAGCGGACAGAUGGGAGCUUGCUCCCUGAUGUUAGCGGCGGACGGGUGAGUAACACGUGGGUAACCUGCCUGUAAGACUGGGAUAACUCCGGGAAACCGGGGCUAAUACCGGAUGGUUGUUUGAACCGCAUGGUUCAAACAUAAAAGGUGGCUUCGGCUACCACUUACAGAUGGACCCGCGGCGCAUUAGCUAGUUGGUGAGGUAACGGCUCACCAAGGCAACGAUGCGUAGCCGACCUGAGAGGGUGAUCGGCCACACUGGGACUGAGACACGGCCCAGACUCCUACGGGAGGCAGCAGUAGGGAAUCUUCCGCAAUGGACGAAAGUCUGACGGAGCAACGCCGCGUGAGUGAUGAAGGUUUUCGGAUCGUAAAGCUCUGUUGUUAGGGAAGAACAAGUACCGUUCGAAUAGGGCGGUACCUUGACGGUACCUAACCAGAAAGCCACGGCUAACUACGUGCCAGCAGCCGCGGUAAUACGUAGGUGGCAAGCGUUGUCCGGAAUUAUUGGGCGUAAAGGGCUCGCAGGCGGUUUCUUAAGUCUGAUGUGAAAGCCCCCGGCUCAACCGGGGAGGGUCAUUGGAAACUGGGGAACUUGAGUGCAGAAGAGGAGAGUGGAAUUCCACGUGUAGCGGUGAAAUGCGUAGAGAUGUGGAGGAACACCAGUGGCGAAAGCGACUCUCUGGUCUGUAACUGACGCUGAGAGCGAAAGCGUGGGGAGCGAACAGGAUUAGAUACCCUGGUAGUCCACGCCGUAAACGAUGAGUGC
Molecule: ribosomal RNA, 788 nt
Filed under: Bacillus sp. (in: firmicutes)
Lineage: Bacteria; Bacillati; Bacillota; Bacilli; Caryophanales; Bacillaceae
Description: bacterial SSU rRNA
Rfam family: Bacterial small subunit ribosomal RNA
Source: RNAcentral